RNAcentral lists this ribosomal RNA (390 nucleotides) under uncultured bacterium. RNAcentral's name for it is "bacterial SSU rRNA". It matches the Rfam family "Bacterial small subunit ribosomal RNA", at positions 28 to 417 of the family's 1533-position model. The record is from RNAcentral.
GACGAACGCUGGCGGCGUGCUUAACACAUGCAAGUCGAGCGGUAAGGCCCUUUCGGGGGUACACGAGCGGCGAACGGGUGAGUAACACGUGGGUGACCUGCCCUCAGCUCUGGGAUAAGCCUGGGAAACCGGGUCUAAUACUGGAUAUGACUCCAUGACGCAUGUUGUGGGGUGGAAAGCCUUGUGCGGCUGAGGAUGGGGCCCGCGGCCUAUCAGCUUGUUGGUGGGGUGAGGCCUACCAAGGCGACGACGGGUAGCCGGCCUGAGAGGGCGACCGGGCCACACUGGGACUGAGACACGGCCCAGACUCCUACGGGAGGCAGCAGUGGGGAAUCUUAGCGCAAUGGGCGAAAGCCUGACGCAGCGACGCCGCGUGAGGGAUGACGGCCU